RNAcentral lists this long non-coding RNA (1106 nucleotides) under Medicago truncatula (barrel medic). RNAcentral's name for it is "lncRNA gene33608". Lineage: Eukaryota; Viridiplantae; Streptophyta; Magnoliopsida; Fabales; Fabaceae. The record is from RNAcentral.
CCUCUUCAAUUUGAAAUUCUUUGGAUGCAUCUCUGUCAUAUGAUUCUACCAACCGCUCAACUGAUUUCCUUUCACGUACAGGACGGUUGGUUGUAGGAGUUGUUGGCUCUGCCUCCUUCAGUUCCUUCAUUUUCUUUUUCACAUUCUCCCCACCAACCUUUUCCUUAUCGCCCACCUCCUCAUCUCGACUUCUCUCCUUUUCAAUGCUCUCAUCUUUGGCUUCAGGGAUAUCCUCUAUCUUCUUCAGUUCCUUCAUUUUCUUUUUCACAUUCUCCCCAUUAACCUUUCCUUUCCCGCGUUUUUUCAAUCUCUUCUCAACUUUGAUAUUUUCUUCAUUUGACUUAUUAUCUACCUUAUCCUUAUCAUCCUCUCUGUCUUUUUGACUUUUCUCCUUUUCACUGCCCUCGUCUUUACCUUCAAGGAUACUCUCUUCAUCCAUGGCAUCUAAUUCAGGCUUCUUAGCUUCAACGCUUUCUCUCUCUUCUUUACUAAGCUCAGUUUCCUCACUCAAUUUGUCAUCCUCAAACCCAUUAUCAUCUUUCUUAUCCUCUUCAAUUUCAUCCCCAGCAUCAACUUUCUUAUCCUCUUUUAAUUCUUCCCCUUCAGCUUUCUUCUCCUCUUCUAAUUCUUCCCCUUCAUUGACUUUCUUAUCCUCUAUUAUUUCUACCCCUGCAUCGUCUUUCUUAUCCUCUUUCAAUUUUUCCCCUUCAUCAGCUUUCUUCUCCUCUUUUAAUUCUUCCCCUUCAUUGACUUUCUUAUCCUCUUUUAUUUUUACCGCUGCAUCGUCUUUCUUAUCCUCUUUCAAUUUUUCCCCUUCAUCAGCUUUCUUCUCCUCUUUUAUAUCUCCCCCUUCAUUGACUUUCUUAUCCUCUUUUACCUCUUGCCCGACAUCAACUUUCUUAUCCUCUUUUCUUUCUUCCCCUCCAUUGUCUUUCUUAUCCUCUUUUAGUUCUUCUCCUUCAUCAGCUUGCUUGUCCUCUUUUAUUUCUUUCCCUUCGUUAACUUUCUCAUCCUCUUUUAUUCCUUCCCCAUCCCCAGCUUUGAUAGCGUUUUCUGUUACAACAUCACCAUCAUCAGCUAGCUUAUCCAUUUCUAGUACUUCCUCC